AUUGAACGCUGGCGGCAUGCUUUACACAUGCAAGUCGAACGGCAGCGGGGUAGUGCUUGCACUACUGCCGGCGAGUGGCGAACGAGUGAGUAAUAUAUCAGAACGUACCGAGUAAUGGGGGAUAACCAAUCGAAAGAUUGGCUAAUACCGCAUACGUCCUGAGGGAGAAAGCGGGGGGUCGCAAGACCUCGCGUUGUUCGAGCGGCCGAUAACUGAGUAGCUAGUUGGUGGGGUCAAGGCCUACCAAGGCGACGAUCAGUAGCGGGUAUGAGAGGACGAUCCGCCACACUGGGACUGAGACACGGCCCAGACUCCUACGGGAGGCAGCAGUGGGGAAUUUUGGACAAUGGGGGCAACCCUGAUCCAGCCAUGCCGCGUGUAUGAAGAAGGCCUUCGGGUUGUAAAGUACUUUUGUUAGGGAAGAAAAGGGAAGUGCUAAUACCACUUUUUGCUGACGGUACCUAAAGAAUAAGCACCGGCUAACUACGUG
This 490-nucleotide ribosomal RNA is filed under the name uncultured bacterium. RNAcentral's name for it is "partial 16S ribosomal RNA". It matches the Rfam family "Bacterial small subunit ribosomal RNA", at positions 30 to 507 of the family's 1533-position model. The record is from RNAcentral.